Molecule: ribosomal RNA, 494 nt
Filed under: uncultured bacterium
Lineage: Bacteria
Description: partial 16S ribosomal RNA
Rfam family: Bacterial small subunit ribosomal RNA
Source: RNAcentral
GACGAACGCUGGCGGCGUGCUUAACACAUGCAAGUCGAACGGAAAGGCCUGCUUUCCCUUGUGGAUUGCGGGUACUCGAGUGGCGAACGGGUGAGUAACACGUGAGUGAUCUGCCCUCAACUUGGGUAUAAGCCUGGGAAACUGGGUCUAAUUCCCGAUAGGACUGCAGGGUGGUGCCUGUGGUGGAAAACGAUUUUCUAGUGGUUGGGGAUGAGCUCGCGGCCUAUCAGCUUGUUGGUGGGGUAAUGGCCUACCAAGGCGGCGACGGGUAGCCGGCCCGAGAGGGUGGACGGCCACAUUGGGACUGAGAUACGGCCCAGACUCCUACGGGAGGCAGCAGUGGGGAAUAUUGCACAAUGGGCGGAAGCCUGAUGCAGCGACGCCGCGUGGGGGAUGACGGCCUUCGGGUUGUAAACUCCUUUCGACCGCGAGGAAGCCACCUGGUUGGAAGGGUGGUGACGGUAGUGGUAGAAGAAGCACCGGCUAACUACGUG